Molecule: ribosomal RNA, 436 nt
Filed under: uncultured Clostridium sp.
Lineage: Bacteria; Bacillati; Bacillota; Clostridia; Eubacteriales; Clostridiaceae
Description: partial 16S ribosomal RNA
Rfam family: Bacterial small subunit ribosomal RNA
Source: RNAcentral
ACGGGAGGUAGCAGUGGGGAAUAUUGCACAAUGGGCGCAAGCCUGAUGCAGCAACGCCGCGUGAGGGAAGACGGUUUUCGGAUUGUAAACCUCUGUCUUUGGUGACGAAGAAGUGACGGUAGCCAAGGAGGAAGCCGCGGCUAACUACGUGCCAGCAGCCGCGGUAAUACGUAGGUGGCAAGCGUUAUCCGGAAUUACUGGGUGUAAAGGGAGCGCAGGCGGGUCAGCAAGUCAGCGGUGAAAAUUAUGGGCUCAACCCAUGAACUGCCGUUGAAACUGUUGAUCUUGAGUGGAGUAGAGGCAGGCGGAAUUCCGAGUGUAGCGGUGAAAUGCGUAGAUAUUCGGAGGAACACCAGUGGCGAAGGCGGCCUGCUGGACUUUUACUGACGCUGAGGCUCGAAAGUGUGGGGAGCAAACAGGAUUAGAUACCCUGGUA